RNAcentral lists this ribosomal RNA (313 nucleotides) under uncultured bacterium. RNAcentral describes it as "bacterial SSU rRNA". It matches the Rfam family "Bacterial small subunit ribosomal RNA", at positions 207 to 507 of the family's 1533-position model. The record is from RNAcentral.
GGUUUCGGCUACUCACGUUUGGGAUGGACCCGCGGUGCAUUAGUUAGUUGGUGAGGUAAAGGCUCACCAAGACCGUGAUGCAUAGCCGACCUAAGAGGGUAAUCGGCCACACUGGGACUGAGACACGGCCCAGACUCCUACGGGAGGCAGCAGUAGGGAAUCUUCCACAAUGGACGAAAGUCUGAUGGAGCAACGCCGCGUGAGUGAAGAAGGUUUUCGGAUCGUAAAACUCUGUUGUUGGAGAAGAAUGUAUCUGAUAGUAACUGAUCAGGUAGUGACGGUAUCCAACCAGAAAGCCACGGCUAACUACGUG